Papilio machaon (common yellow swallowtail) is the source of this 342-nucleotide long non-coding RNA. RefSeq lists it as uncharacterized. The transcript is spliced from 3 exons. NCBI's taxonomy places the organism in Eukaryota, Metazoa, Arthropoda, Insecta, Lepidoptera, Papilionidae. The record is from RefSeq and is a predicted model, not a curated record.
CAGGAAACCUUUAUUUGUGGGGAUUUCUUUGAACAGUGCGGUGUUAUUGCAGUCUAUCUUAAAUUUCAAAGCGUCAAAGGAAUGGCCAGUUGAGGCGCGAAGGCGACGCAGCGCGAGGGAACCCGCUCUCCGAUGACUCACGCAUCAACUUCGCCAUUCGCAACCACUGCUUGUUUGUGCUCAAUCGCAACUCGCAACUCUACGAUAUAUUAAUAAUACGAAAACAUGCAUACUUCUGCAUUACACACAACAAAAGUUAUCCGGACACAAAGGAGAAAGUUCACAGCAAUUGAGCGACGUUAUCAAGGACGGCCUCCGACACACUUCAACAUAUACUGAGAU